AUGUAUCCCACGUGCCCACCGGUUCCUCCGCGCCGCCCGCACCACCUGACGACUGCUCGCGACGUGUUGUUAGCG
Molecule: small RNA, 75 nt
Filed under: Xanthomonas campestris
Lineage: Bacteria; Pseudomonadati; Pseudomonadota; Gammaproteobacteria; Lysobacterales; Lysobacteraceae
Also listed under: 2 other names
Description: sRNA sX9
Rfam family: Xanthomonas sRNA sX9
Source: RNAcentral